AUUGAACGCUGGCGGCAUGCCUUACACAUGCAAGUCGAACGGCAGCACGGGAGCAAUCCUGGUGGCGAGUGGCGAACGGGUGAGUAAAGUAUCGGAACGUGCCCAGUCGUGGGGGAUAACGUAGCGAAAGUUACGCUAAUACCGCAUACGAUCUAUGGAUGAAAGCGGGGGAUCGCAAGACCUCGCGCGAUUGGAGCGGCCGAUAUCAGAUUAGGUAGUUGGUGGGGUAAAGGCUCACCAAGCCGACGAUCUGUAGCUGGUCUGAGAGGACGACCAGCCACACUGGGACUAGGACACGGCCCAGACUCCUACGGGAGGCAGCAGUGGGAAUUUUGGACAAUGGGCGAAAGCCUGAUCCAGCCAUGCCGCGUGCAGGAUGAAGGCCUUCGGGUUGUAAACUGCUUUUGUACGGAACGAAAAGGUUUGGCCUAAUAAGCUGAGCUCAUGACGGUACCGUAAGAAUAAGCACCGGCUAACUACGUGCCAGCAGCCGCCGUAA
This 499-nucleotide ribosomal RNA is filed under the name uncultured bacterium. Its description in RNAcentral is "partial 16S ribosomal RNA". It matches the Rfam family "Bacterial small subunit ribosomal RNA", at positions 30 to 523 of the family's 1533-position model. The record is from RNAcentral.